AUUGUUGUAAUAAAGCAAGAAUUUUUUCAGUUAUUGCAAACCUUUGGUUCCAUACAUUCUGAAAUUGCCUUUUCUCCUUACACGACGUUUCUUUUGGAAUCAAAAUGAUAUUCCGAAUAAUUUUCUUGUUUCUGAUUAUCGGAGCUGCUGUAAAUGCUUACGAUUGCAACAGACGUUGCGGGGUCUGCUUGCCAGCUGACUGUCGUCCAGGUGAAACAAUUGUGCGCAAAGGAGAUAAAUGUGGGUGCUGUGACAUUUGUGCAUCUGCAACAGAAUAAAUAUUGAUGAUGGCGACGUAGUUCUCUGCAAUCUCAACUAGAAUUUCUGUGAAACACGUGAAUACCUUUGGUGUAUUGUUUUCUUUUUCUAUUAGAUGUGAACAUAAAAUAAAUUCUUGCUUAUAAAAUCUGCC
Long non-coding RNA from Argiope bruennichi, 412 nucleotides. RefSeq lists it as uncharacterized. The transcript is spliced from 3 exons. NCBI's taxonomy places the organism in Eukaryota, Metazoa, Arthropoda, Arachnida, Araneae, Araneidae. The record is from RefSeq and is a predicted model, not a curated record.